AACCUGUGGCUGGUGGCAUUUAUUAGAUAGUUACCAAUCGCAUUUUGCGUGGUGAAUCUAGAUAACUGAGCAGAUCGUACGGCCUUGUGCUGACGACAUUUCGAUUGAAUUUCUGCCCUAUCAACUAUUGUCGGUAGUGUAGUGGACUACCGAGGUUUUUACGGGUGACGGGGAAUCAGGGUUCGAUUCCGGAGAGGGAGCCUGAGAAACGGCUACCACAUCCAAGGAAGGCAGCAGGCGCGCAAAUUACCCAAUCCAGACAAUGGGAGGUGGUGACGAGAAGUACCAGAUGACGGCCUAUGGCUGUCAAUCUGGAAUGGAUUCAAUUUAAGCAUUUGAUUGAGAAACUACUGGAGGGCAAGUCUGGUGCCAGCAGCCGCGGUAAUUCCAGCUCCAGUAGCGUACUUCAAAGUUGCUGCGCUUAAAACGCUCGUAGUUGGAUCACAAACUUUAUGUUGGUGGGUGUCGAUUGAGGUGUCUAAGUGAUAAACUGCUGGUGUGGCCACAUGCUGGUAAGGAGUUGGGAGAAGGAAAAUUGGCACCGUUAGCUGAGAUAGAAUAAUUGUACGUGAAGAUGGGUGUUGGCCUUGAGUGUGCUGACAUUUGUGUCUCACGGAGUGUGCCUUGAGUAAAUCAGAGUGCUUAAAGCAAGCUUUACGCUUGAAUGUUUUAGCAUGGAACGAACAAUAGUGUAUGU
This 697-nucleotide ribosomal RNA is filed under the name Myxozoa sp. OMsCVII 9. RNAcentral's name for it is "SSU rRNA". It matches the Rfam family "Eukaryotic small subunit ribosomal RNA", at positions 188 to 831 of the family's 1831-position model. The record is from RNAcentral. Lineage: Eukaryota; Metazoa; Cnidaria; Myxozoa.